UACGUAGGGUGCGAGCGUUAAUCGGAAUUACUGGGCGUAAAGCGUGCGCAGGCGGUUUCGUAAGACAGAGGUGAAAUCCCCGGGCUCAACCUGGGAAUGGCCUUUGUGACUGCGAGGCUAGAGUGUGACAGAGGGGGGUAGAAUUCCACGUGUAGCAGUGAAAUGCGUAGAGAUGUGGAGGAAUACCGAUGGCGAAGGCAGCCCCCUGGGUUACUACUGACGCUCAUGCACGAAAGCGUGGGGAGCAAACAGGAUUAGAUACCCUGGUAGUCCACGCCCUAAACGAUGUCAACUGGAUGUUGGGCGGGUUAAACCGCUUAGUGUCGUAGCUAACGCGUGAAGUUGACCGCCUGGGGAGUACGGCCGCAAGGCUAAA
This 376-nucleotide ribosomal RNA is filed under the name uncultured bacterium. RNAcentral's name for it is "bacterial SSU rRNA". It matches the Rfam family "Bacterial small subunit ribosomal RNA", at positions 524 to 898 of the family's 1533-position model. The record is from RNAcentral.